This is a long non-coding RNA of Macaca fascicularis (crab-eating macaque), 2254 nucleotides long. The record is from Ensembl. NCBI's taxonomy places the organism in Eukaryota, Metazoa, Chordata, Mammalia, Primates, Cercopithecidae.
UUUUUUUUUUUUUUUUUUUUUUGCUGUUGUUGCUUGUGCUUUUGGUGCCAUAUCUAAGAAAUCAUGGCCAAAUCCAAGGUCAUGAAGACUUAUUCCUAUAUUUUCUUCUCAAAGUUUUAUGGUUUUAGCUCUUACAUUUAGGUCUUUGAUCUAUUUUGAAUUAAUUUUUAUAUAUGGUAUGAAGUACGGGUACAACUUCAUUCUUUUGCAUGUGAAUAUUCACUUGUCUUAGCACUAUUAGUUGAAGACACUGUUCUUUCUUCAUUGAGUGGUCUUGGAACCCUUGUCAAAAAAAUCAAUUGACCAUAGUGUAUUGACGUAAUUUAUUUCCGGACUUUCCAUUCUACUCUAUUGCUUUAUAUAUUUUUAUACCAACACAACACUGUUUUGAUUGAAGUAGCUUUGCAGUAAAUUUUGAAACUGGAAAAUGCGAGUCCUUCGCCUUUAUUCUUGUUCAAGAUUGUUUUGAACAAACUUGAGUGCCUUCAGUAACUUGCAAUCCUGUAAAAAUUUUAGGGUCAGCUUUUCUGUUUCUGUAAAAGGGUCACUGGAAUUUUAAUGGGGAUUUUAUUAAAUCUAUAGACUAAUUUUGGGAGUAAUGCCAUCUUAACAAUGUUAGGUCUUCCAACCUGCCAGCACAGGAUAUCUUCCAUUUAUUUAGGUCUUCUUUAAUUUCUUUCAGCAACGUUUUGUACUUUUCAGUGUCCAAGUCUUGCACUUUCUUGGUCAAAUUUAUUCGUAUUUUAUUCUUUUUCAUGUUAUUAUAAAUGGUUUUAAUUUUCUCUCAGGUUUUUCUUAGACUUUUGGGUGUUGAUCUUGCAACCUGCAACAUUGCUGAAUUUUUAAAAUCAGCUGGAAUCAUUGUGUGGAUUCUUUAGGAUUUUUAGUACAUAGGACCAUAUUUUCUGCAAAUGUAGUUUUACUUCUUCCUAUUUGGGAUUCAUUUUAUUUCUUUUUCUUGCCUAAUUGCUCUGGCUAGACCUUCUAGUAUAAUGCUGAAUAGCAGUGGGGAAACCAGGAAUUUUCAUGAUAUUAGGGGAAAAAUUUUCAAUGUUUUGCUAUUAUGUUGUUAGCUGUGGGUUUUUAUGAAUGUCUUUAUCAGAUUAAGAAAGUUCCCUUUUCUUCCUAGUUUGCAGUGUUUUUACCAUGAAAGAGUGUUGGAUUUUGUCAGAUGUUUUUUCUUAUCAACUGAGGUGAUUAUGCUGUUUUUUCCCUUCAUUCUAUUAAUAUGGUAUAUUACAUCGAUUGACAUUUGUGUGUAGAACCAUGUUCCCUGCACUUCUUUGAUAAAUCUUGCUUGGUCAUGCUGUAUGAUCAUUUUAAUAAGCUACUAGAUUUGGCCUGCUAGUAUUUUGAAGUUUUUUUGCAUCUAUAUUCAUGAGGGAUAUUGGUCUGUAGUUUCCCUGUGAGGUCUUUGGCUUUGGUGUUAAGGUAAUGCUGGCCUUGGAGAAUGGGUCACAGGGUGCUCCUUUCUAUUCCAUUGUUUGGAAGAGUUCGAGAAGGAUUAGUGUUAAUUUUUCUUCAUAUGUUUGGCAUAGUUUGCCAGUAAACUCAUUUAGUCCUGGACUUUCUUUGCUGGGAGAUUUUUGAGUAGUGGUUCAAUCUCUUUACUUGUUAUAGGGCUGUUCGGAAUUUUUAUUUCCUUUUGAGCCUGUUUUGUCAAUUGGUGUGUUUUUUAAUCUAGGUCAUCUAAAUUGUUGGCAACAAUGCUUGUUUUUAUGAAUAAAUUUGUUUAUAGUUAAGUUGCCUAAAAUACCAUGCAAUUCAUCUAAUAGGUAUAAAACUUGAAAUAUAUUGCAUCUACUUUUCUAAAGCAAAAUCUGUAAAAUUCCAUAAGAGAUUUAAACAAUUAAAAUAAAUAAUUCCUCACAUAAAAUGAAAAUUUUUUUUUUUUGAGACAGAGUCUUGCUCUGUCACCCAGGCUGGAUGGAGUGCAGUGGCGCGGUCUGGGCUCAUCACAAGCUCCGCCUCCAGGGUUCAUGAUUUUUUUUUUUUUUUUUUUUUUUAGUAGAGACGGGGUUUCACCGUGUUGGCCAGGACGGUCUCGAUCUCCUGACUUCAUGAUCCACCUGCCUCGGCCUCCCAAAGUGCUGGGAUUACAGGCGUUAGCCACUGCGCCCAGCCGAAAUCUUUCUUUUUCUCCCUAGUGGUAGGAAUAGUAAGAGUGAAGACUGCUGAGUGAGAUGGCCUUUGUAUGAAUCCCUGCUCUGCCACUUACUUGCGGUAUAUAACCUUGGGGCUAACUUCUCUGUAC